GUAGGGGGCAAGCGUUAUCCGGAAUUACUGGGUGUAAAGGGUGCGUAGGUGGUAUGGCAAGUCAGAAGUGAAAACCCAGGGCUUAACUCUGGGACUGCUUUUGAAACUGUCAGACUGGAGUGCAGGAGAGGUAAGCGGAAUUCCUAGUGUAGCGGUGAAAUGCGUAGAUAUUAGGAGGAACAUCAGUGGCGAAGGCGGCUUACUGGACUGAAACUGACACUGAGGCACGAAAGCGUGGGGAGCAAACAGGAUUAGAUACCCUGGUAGUCCACGCCCUAAACGAUGAAUACUAGGUGUCGGGGCCGUAGAGGCUUCGGUGCCGCAGCCAACGCAGUAAGUAUUCCACCUGGGGAGUACGUUCGCAAGAAUG
Molecule: ribosomal RNA, 370 nt
Filed under: uncultured bacterium
Lineage: Bacteria
Description: bacterial SSU rRNA
Rfam family: Bacterial small subunit ribosomal RNA
Source: RNAcentral